CAGCAGCCGCGGGAAUACAGAGGGUGCGAGCGUUAAUCGGAUUUACUGGGCGUAAAGCGUGUGUAGGUUGUUGUUCAAGUCAGUUGUGAAAUCCCUGGGCUCAACCUGGGAGCUGCUUCUGAGACUGAACGACUAGAGUACGGUAGAGGGUGGUGGAAUUUCCGGUGUAGCGGUGAAAUGCGUAGAUAUCGGAAGGAACAUCAAUGGCGAAGGCAGCCACCUGGGCCUGUACUGACACUGAGACACGAAAGCGUGGGGAUCAAACAGGAUUAGAGACCCCGGUAGUCCCUGUCUCUUAUAC
This 301-nucleotide ribosomal RNA is filed under the name uncultured bacterium. Its description in RNAcentral is "partial 16S ribosomal RNA". It matches the Rfam family "Bacterial small subunit ribosomal RNA", at positions 509 to 807 of the family's 1533-position model. The record is from RNAcentral.